GGUAGUGUCAUGUAAGUAACGGCUCAUGCACAGUAUCACUCCUGCCUGCUUUCCAUUUGCCACUCUGGAGCUCCACUGAAGACAAUGCAGCUUGUACUUCUUAUUCCUAUAUGGUAACACACACCCUGGUGGUGCCUCCCCAUUGUGGAGACUCCUCAUUCUCUGUUUCAGUUCAAUUGAAGGCAGGAGUUCAAGUUCAACUCUCAGAAGGAGAUUCAGACACAGAGAAGGCAUGAACACAACAUGGACCUGGCACAAGGGGAACGUAUUGACUUACCGCCAGGCGUCUGGCCGUCACAGACAGAGCCUCUGCUGAACUGACAGAUGAACAGGGCAGACCCUUCUGGGGAGGCAGUGGCGUGGAAGACUGUCUUCUCAGAAUGCAUCGGCUACCUUGUUGCUCAACGUUAUUCCUCAGAUUGUCUUGAGAGGGAUGGCUUCCACCCUUCCUGUUACAUUGACAGGUUCACCCAGUGUAUGUAG
Molecule: long non-coding RNA, 483 nt
Organism: Tupaia belangeri chinensis (Chinese tree shrew)
Lineage: Eukaryota; Metazoa; Chordata; Mammalia; Scandentia; Tupaiidae
Exons: 4
Source: RefSeq, a predicted model, not a curated record